UUGGAACCAAUGGGGAGAGGCGGAGACAUUCUCCAGGAUGGCAAGAGGACACGAACCUCGGUAGAAACACCCUCCAUGCGGCGGGCGGAAAAGCGAGGCGGCAGUUUCGAGCAGGCGGCCUGUCUGGGGCGACAGGAGCAGGAGCCGCAACGGAAGAGGGUUUGCAGCAGCAGUGAAGAGGCCAAGGUUUCCGGGCGGGAACGAGAAUCGCCGGCCCGGCGGCACAAGUCGGCUGAAGGCGGAAGUGUGGACGAUUCGACAAAUAUAACAGAGCGUGUGGGGGAGCCAUGCGAAGCAGCGCCACCUAAAGGUUCACAGACGACUUGUGCCAGUCAGCCGGGCGCGCGAUCGACGGAGGAGGUGUCGGACUCGACUGCGGUCCCAUCGUCCGGGGCGCCGGCGAAACGUGGAGCUAACCAGACGCAGUCUGAUCAGGAGGCCCUGGUCAAGUCCGGUCAGAAGGAUCGGACAGAAGUGGAACGAGAACCCCUGGUCAAAGGCGCUUCGAUAUCAGGACAGGGUUCGGCGAUGCGUGUCAAGCCCCCUGCUGGACGACCCGUCGAUAGGAUGCAAAGCGACAGGCGUAGCUCUGUUCCUCUCCCGUCAUGCGGUCCUCCAUCACUUUUGCUUCGCGGGACGGAGCGUGUCACUGCUCAGGCACGGAGCGUGACAUCAGCACCAUGUCCUGCGUUUCCGGGAAAUGUUGGGCCUAAUGAGGCCCGAGCUACUGCAGGCACCACUACAGCCGCUGUUGAAGUUUCGAGUCAGACCAGACACGCUCCUGUGGUCUCCGGUCCGACCAGACCCGUCUCUGUGUCCACUGUUACGGUUGGAUCUGCUUCCUGUGGAUCUGGUCAGACCGAACUCGCUCCUAGCAGUUCGGGAGAGAUUGAGAAGAUCCCCGCUGACUUGGACUCAGCUAAGCCGUCCUGUGGGCACCUGAAACAGACGGGGGCCAUCUCUGAGAGCGCGAGGCAGACGCUGAGCUGCGCGGAAAACCGGGGUCUACUUGGGGCUGUUUCCAAUGACACGCCUGACCCGCUUCCAGCCUCUAAAGAGGUGGAGGGCAUUUCGAGUACGCGGCAGAAAACCACCAGUGCUCCUGCCAACCCGCCUCCGACAGUCGGCGAGCACCAGUCGGGGGCAUCAACGUCCGGGGGUCGGCCAACGGCGCUGUCGGUUGGCUCCACCCAGCUGACUCACGUAGUGAAGCUGCCCGACCCGGUGCUGCAUGGUGAUGCCGCCCUGGCGUGGGACUCGACGGAGGACCCGCGCGGCAUUGGCUUCUCGUCCGAAAUGCUGUACCAGCCGCCGGAGCGCGGCCCCCAGUCCCCUAACGUCAGCUACUGCGUGCUGUGUUGGGACGGUGGCGAGCUGCUGCUCUGUGACCACUGCGAGCGCGCCUUCCACCGUGAAUGCUACAUCGGUCCUGCGGACGACUCUGACAGCGGGCCGUGGCAGUGUCUGAUGUGCCGCGUUAUGCCGACCCCCAUGAGUCCGAUGGAGCGGCGCGUCGGGUGACCAGAUGAACGCGGAGGACAUGACGUUAGCCCGUCGUUUGCUGAUGGAGCUCUAUGCAGCCUACUAUCCGUCCAUGUACUUCAAAAACCUGGAGGCCAUGUCGCUGAAACGGAGCACUCGCAAUGCCAGCUUUUCUCGGGCUUGGCUGAAGCACAUUCAUCGUUUGGCGAGGCCAAAAGUCCGUGAUGGCUUCAGCAAGAAAAGCGCCUUUCUCGAGAGCCUUUUUGAUAUUUGCCAACCGAUUAGGGAAAAGGAGCUGGCCGACUUCGAUCAAAUCCCGCGGCCUUUGUGUCUGGACCAGAUCAAGGAACGGCUGCUCGCGCGAGACUUCUCCACGCUUAUGCGCUUCCUCCAUGCCCUGAAGAAGCUUGUCGACCAGCGUCAGUAUUUUAAGAAAGGCACCACCCCGGACAAGUAUUUGAAGCAGUUGGAUGAUAUGCUGGAGCAGUUCCUCCUGCAGCAUAUGCAUAGUUAUUGGCUUCACGUGGACGAUGUCCGAUCUUCCAAAUGACGGCACGCCUGAUGGGGGCGGCUGGUUCUUUGCGGCCACCAGCCAACUACCUGGUGAAUGGGUCG
This is an unclassified non-coding RNA of Pollicipes pollicipes, 2097 nucleotides long. Lineage: Eukaryota; Metazoa; Arthropoda; Thecostraca; Pollicipedomorpha; Pollicipedidae. The record is from RefSeq and is a predicted model, not a curated record.